Small nuclear RNA from Hyla sarda, 192 nucleotides. RefSeq annotates it as U2 spliceosomal RNA. Lineage: Eukaryota; Metazoa; Chordata; Amphibia; Anura; Hylidae. The transcript has a single exon. The record is from RefSeq and is a predicted model, not a curated record.
AUCGCUUCUCAGCCUUUUGGCUAAGAUCAAGUGUAGUGUCUGUUCUUCUCAGUUUUAUAUCUGAUACGUCCCCGGUCGGCGGACCAUAUAUUAAAGGGAUUUUUGAGAACCGGGGGCCAAUUUCGAAGCUUGCUUCCAUCGCUCCAUGCAUUGACUCGAUAUGGCAGUAUCUUCGGGUACAGUGCACCAAAA